GGGGUCGUAGUUCAGAUGGCAAGAACGCCGGCCUGUCACGCCGGAGGUCGCGAGUUCAAAUCUCGUCGGCCCCGCCA
Molecule: transfer RNA, 77 nt
Filed under: bacterium
Lineage: Bacteria
Description: tRNA-Asp
Rfam family: tRNA
About the family: Transfer RNA (tRNA) molecules are approximately 80 nucleotides in length.
Source: RNAcentral